CUGCUACCUGCAUUAUAAGAGGGGAAAACCACAGAGAAAAACCAUGACAGUUACCAUGAUGAAGCUCCAGCUCUGGAAAAAAAAACCAAACACACUUUUAAAAGAAGUUCAGACGGAGAGCGCUGACAUUUUCACCUGAGCGCCAUCGAUUGUUUCCUUUAAGCAAAAGCCCCAUGUACAGAACUAAAACAAAUCAAUGCAGGCAGUGGAAACGAAUCCAAGCUUGUAUUGUGUUUCUUGUUGGAGAUUCAUGGGCCUGGGAGACAUACACGAACACCUGCUCUCUCGUUCAGCUGCUGGUGACUGAGAUCCCUCUCUACUUUUUCCCAGUCGCUCUCUCCUUCACACAUACACAAUCCGUGUAGCAAUGACAUCCCAAUCAGUGUCCCCACCCACAUGUAACCUCCAACCCCAAGACACACAUUCACAGGCGCACACACCUCCCCGCCUGUCCCUUCUCGUUGCCGGGCUCAGACAGCCGGCUUGACAGCCUGUGACAAGUGCAGCUGGAUCUGCUGCUGUCCAUCACUGCAGACUGGCUUUCAGCAGAGCUCUGUGUUGUCCUGCGAUACCAGAGGCUGCACCGUCCUCUGCCAGACACCCUGCCAGGACCAAAGAAGGCAAGGCCAAGCUCUGUCACAUGAAGGCAAUUGAUGGUGCAACGAGGGACAUGAGGAAAGCAUAACAGAGUGACACGCCAAUCAACAAGCUGCUGGAACCAGAUCUUUCAGCGAUGUAAACCCGAGAUGAGGCUCUGAUGAUUCUUUCAAACAGGAAGAACUUGGUGGAUGUGUGUGACUGCAGCACGCGCACAGUGCAAGACAGAAUGGCGAAGAAAUAUUACAGUUUGCAUGGUUUUUAAUGUAGUACACAAAUACUAUUGAGUCCAUAUUAUGUCAUGAAGAAAGAGAGACAAAGAUGGAGCUUUCUAAUAGAAGGGAAAGGUAAAUUUAAACACAAAGUGGGUUUCAAAUUUUCUAAAGUAAGAACUUAUUUUUUAAAAAAUAUUUUUUUUUAUUUAUUCUUUUUUGUCAUUUUUUGCUUGAGUUUGUAUGGUUAUAAUAAGAGUAUUUCACAUAAACACUUUUCAAACUAAGCUUUAAUAUCUCUAAAAGAAGAACAUUUUUGAUCAGAUCAUGCUAAAAUUCUGUUGUUUUCAUAUUCAAACUGUAGAAAAAAAUAAUCUGAGAUAGAUAAAGUUGCCAAUAAAUUUUACUAGUAUUGACUAUGUAAAAUGUUUCAUUUGGUAUCAUAAUAAAGCAGUUACCCAACUGGUUUCUUAAAAAUAAAAAUGAAACAAAUAAAAUAAAAAAACUCUCAAGUUCUCAGUUUGAAUUUAACUCAUAGUGUAAAACUUAAAUUUUAAAUGUUAAACCUAAAUCUAUAAAAUGCCAAUUUAUUACUGAAUUUGUGUCAGAGAACUACUCAAACUUAAAAAA
Molecule: long non-coding RNA, 1439 nt
Organism: Oryzias melastigma (Indian medaka)
Lineage: Eukaryota; Metazoa; Chordata; Actinopteri; Beloniformes; Adrianichthyidae
Exons: 2
Source: RefSeq, a predicted model, not a curated record